CCUACUCUGAUGAUUCAUUGUACUGUGGCAUUGCCAUUAGAAAUAAAAACACUGGGGAGAAAAACAAUAUGGAUUGUAAAUUUAAUGUGUUUGUUCAUAAGCUUAUGUGCUUUCACGUUGCAUUUGGGACAAGAAAGGGAAGCUUAUAUGUAACUUCAUAUGAGUCAUUAAUGAAAUAUGAUCUUCUGAGACACAUCAAUGAAUCGGAAAAGAAGAUAUCAAAAUUGAAAAAAAUAAAGGGAAUUUAAUUAGAUGAGAAGUCAUUUGACAAGGUGAAUUUCAAUAGUUAAGGACCAAACUUAAACUUUCCCUUCCUACAUCUAUGAUAGUUAUUAAUUCACAGAAUAUAUACAUAUACAUGUAUCCUCACACUCCUCUCUUUUUUGGGGGGUCCAGUCUUUUUUUCUUUAUUGCUUUUUUUUUCUGUUUAUUCAUGUGUAUUAACUUUUUAAAUACACAUUUCUUUGUGAAUCAUGUUGGGAGAGAAAAAUCAGAACAAAAGGGAAAAACCACAAGGAAAAAAACAGAAAAAAAAGAAGCGAAGAUAGCAUGUAUUGAUUUACAUUCAAUCUCCAUAGUUCUCUUUUUGGAUGCAGAUGAAUCCAGUAUUUCUUGAAACAAGCUAUAUGUGCUUCAGACACAACUCUUCGUCCAGCCUGGCCCCUUCCCUCUUUUAUAAUCUUCUAUGCCCAUACUCCACCUGGUUAAUUAGCAUCUGUUAUAUAUGACAGCAAAUGAAGGAGAUCAAUCAGCCAGGUAUGAGCAAGAACUCACCCUUCCCUCUUCUGCUUUGUUUUGUUGUUUCUCUGGCAAUUUGAAUUUUCUUUGACUCUUCUCAUUGGCUGACCAUCCUAAUCUAUGAAAAUACUUUUGUAUAGAGAAUUGACCUGUGUUGAUCCCCACCUAGUUUUAGAAGGGUGGGAAGAGCUGGUGUGCUUCCCUGAUGGAGACAAGAUCUUAGCUAUCUUAUGUAGAAGCAAAGCUAAGUAUACAAAGGACAACAUAUAUCCUCUUCACUCACAUCCUUGAACUUCUUUUCUUAUCCUGCUGUGGCCUAAAUACUGUUAUUACAAAUAUGGUUGUAUCCCUCCUGAGUUGCUUCUGUCCUCCCCUUAUUUGUUCCCAUUGCUAGGUGUUCCCUUAGACCUUAAAUCUUCCCUUGGGGAAGCUGAAAAUGUAUCAAAUUAAAGAUCUCUUGCUUUUAGCAGUAUCAUUGGCUGGUGAGUCUCUCCCCUGUGAAAAACCCCAAAACCAUUAUAGUGGAUUGGAAUAGUGUCAUAUCCUUUUUUUUAUUUACUCCCUCUUUUUCCUUCCUUGCUUCCAGUUCCAUAAGCUCUGUUCUUUGGAUUUGUAUUUUUGUCCUCUAAAUAAACAAACUCAUUUCUUUGAAAUGUGAUAUUUGUAAACCAUUAAUGCAAUUUUUUUUCUUUUUUACUAAAUGUACUGAAGAUAAUCUCUUCAUUAAGGUAUUUUCAUUAAGGUUUUCAAAAUUCCUUAAUGAAUUAUUUUGUAAAUUUUAUUCAUUUGACUAAUGGUAUUACUUAGAUUCAGAGAUUGUUAGAAUUAUAACUUAAGAGAUCAUCUAGGCUGGCCUUCCAUUUUUGUUAUUGUUCAAUUAUUUCAAUCAUGUCUGACUCUUUGUGACUCCAUUUUAGGGGAUAAAGAUACUCAUGUCGUUUGCCAUUUCCUGCUCCAGCUCAUUUUACAGAUGAGAAACUGAGACAAGUAGGACUAAAUGACUUUUCCAGGUCACAGUUAAUAAGUAGGCUGGAUUUGAACUCAGGUCUUCUUUACUUUAGGUCAGGCCCUUUAUUUAUUCACUGUGUUACCCACCUUGCUGCUCCAGGAAGCCAAAAGAGAUUUAAUGACUUCCUUAAAGAAAGAAUUCCUCUCUCUUGGUCUGGUGUUCUUUCCACUAUUCCAUUUCUUUCUUUUUGUUUUUAAUCACUCAUCAGGUAUUCUGGAGUUUCUUUGUAUGAUUAUAGUCUCCAUUUCCAGGACAACUGGAAACUGAAAAACUGCAUAUACCAUCAGUUUGCCUCAUACACAAAACAUGAUCCAGUGUCAAGAAUUUAGUCCUAAUAACUGGAUUCUGAGGAAAAAGCCCAACUUGGGCUAUCAUGCAGUUGAUUAAUUCAAAUUAUUUUAAGCCAGUACACCUUCUGAUCCUCUCCUUGUUUAGGAUAUAAGAACCAACCCCCUUUACCUCUAUUGCAUUUCAACUCUGCUGAGUUCAAUUAUUAAAUAGGCCACAAGAGCUAACAAUUUCAAAAGUUGUUUUCAGCAGUUCAACAUAAUGGAUAAUUAAAGGAUACAUUAGGGAAGGGGGAAUCGUGCAUACAUAUAUAGCAAUCAUCACUGUAAUUGAAUAAAAUUGUUAGGAGUCAAACAUGUGCACUAACAUUUCUAGGAGGUCAAUUAGACCAAAUGUAAGUUUAUUACCGUGUGCUUUUGAAAGGAAUUCCAUAAUGAAAAGAAAAAAGGCAAAUACUUUACUUUCUAUGUAAAUAAUAAAUUAUUUGCAUAUCCCAGAUGAUUUCUUUUCCCUUUAUCCAUUCCCUCCUUGCUACUGCAUUUCAAGAAAUAUUUAUUGUUGGAUCCACUGUGUCUAGCAGCAUGCUAAAUCCUGUGGGAUGGUAUGCAUCUUCUUUAGGGACUCAGAAAUAUAUUCAAUUCAACAAACAUUUAUUAAAGAUUAUUAGUACUAGAUGCAGUGAUAGGCUAUGGAUACAAAGAUGAAAAUUAAAACAAAAUAAUCUCUGCCCUCAAGGAGCUUACAUCCUUCAGGAAAACAUCCAUUUAUAGCAAAGGGUAAAAGGCAAAGUUGAGAAAAUUCUGCCUCUGAAAGAAUAUACCCUUUUAUGAGCCACCAUUUUGGCAAUUUCUUUGGUAUCCAUGAAUGAACAGGGCAUUAAAGUAAGAGUAACAGUUUUGUCCAUCUUCAGCAGAUGACUCGAUGCUUGACAUGCUCUUCCCUGAAGAGAUGGAGUACCCAACUAUAGCUAUUUAGUGUGAUAAUGGCGUUUGAUAGACUGGACACAAACACCAUUGUCACACUCCAUAGCUCUGGCAAGGAUAACACACAGCCCAAAGAAUAUUAGUUGCACUUCCACAUGGCAGCACUGCCAUGAACCCACCAAAAAGGAAGUCUCCAGAUCUCUAUGCAUUACCUGAAAGGGAAAGAGGAGAUAGGACACCAUGACAAACUUUAUAGGAAAUGGAGAGACAAGCUGAAGGAAGUCAUAACAAAAGGUAGAAGAUUCUCCUUGCCCUGUCCAAACUGAAACUGCCUUAUGAGAGUAGUUAUUUGGUCUACACUGACACUAGCAAAUCUGCCCUUUGUUCUGCUUUCAUAGGAUCACAAAAUCAUCUAUCUAGAACCGGAAAAGACCUCAGAGGCCAUUCAUUCCAGCAUCCUCAUUUUAGAAAGGAAGAAACUAAGGAUCAAGGAGUGACAUCAUAUACAAGAUCACACAAAUAAUAAGAAACAGGAAGAAUUCAAACCCAUGUUCUCUGAUUCCAGAGUUAGUGUUUUCCAUGUUACAUAUUCUUUGUCCUACAAUUAAGCACUCCUUAAAGUAAGUGGAGAUUUCUUAAGGAAAUCAAAUAUGUGAUGAGCCCACUAGAAUAUUUGUUUUCACUUAUUUUUUUUAGGCUGAGAAAAUAAAACAUCUACAGUGGAUACACUACUGUAUGUGUGAAACCAGAAUUUGACAAACAAAAAUAUUUUGUGGGAAUGCAUAUAAUAAGCAAGCAUAAAGUUAUGAAAAGGCUCUCUUUCCCUCCAUCUCCCCCUUCCUUAAUAAUUCCUAGCAUAUUAUUAAUGCCUGCUUUAAGUCUGUGACAAUUUUGGUAAGUGGUAUUUUCUUCCCAAGAAAGAAAACUCACUUCUUUUAAGGAAUAGAAUUUUGACAUCAGUAGCAUGGCCUUGGUUACCUAACAACCAAGCUCAGUUUGGAUUUUAAAUCUCAGUCCAUUAUGGUAGUGGAAAGGAAAAGGAGUAAAAUUGAAGAGACAGGAGGUAAGCUUAGUGAAAAGGACCUAUUCAUUUUGGAGGCAAUAGCAUUCAGAUCUUAGCCAAAAGGAGACCUAUCUGUGAAGCAAUCCUGCUCUAGAUUUGCACAGGUUUCCAGUUUGAAUUAUUUUUUUGAUAGUACUAAACUCCUUGCCACAGUAGAAAAGACAAGAAGCUAAGUAUUUUACUUCACUGAUUUUCUUUUUUACUAUGCAGUAAAAAGAGGAAAGUUGGGGCUAGGUUCAUGUUUCUCAGAAUUGCCUCUUUUUCUAAAUACAACCAGAAAUACUUUCUAAAUUUAAUGUUGUCAUAUCCUUGAGCACCUAAAAUCAAUUUUCUUUGUAUUUCCUAAAGACAAUCUGGUUUCCUGUCUCCCAGUAAAUGAAAUCAGCAGGCUUGACAAAGACAACAGGGCUUCAGGUUUUGUGAGGAUUGAUAUAUUUUUAAAAGUCAUUUUUAUCAUACUCAGAUUGAGGGAGUUGGCUCCAGCUAUUUGCUUAUCUUCUUGGUUUGUUUAUCCUUUUAAUAGGAUGACUCAUUUCCCUUUAGAAUGUGACUUUGGUCCAUUAGCCAAACAGGCCACUGAUUGCUUCGGUAGUAUGAUUUGAGGGAUAUUAGAAAAGCCCUUCCCAGCCUCUUUCUUACCCUCAAAUGUGUCUCCACAGGCUAGACAUUAGUAACUGAAAUUGUUCUGUUACUAGAAAUUCUUUUUAGUCCCUUACAAAGCUCCAAAUAUUCCUGGGAAGGAUCAAAUGUCCAGGUUAUAAUCAAUCAUCAACAGUCUAGCAUGAAUUAGUUGAGGAAAUCCUCUCCAGUAAGCCGAGUGGUUUUCUAUUAACGAGCUUUUAACUACAGAAAGUCAAGACAUCAAAAUGGCUAUUGAGCCCCAGCUUCAGUAAACUAAAAUAUAGCACUGUAUUCACUAUUUCUUAUUCUUAUCCUCAGAAAUUUCUGGACCCUUAUUCGUAGCAUCCAAUUCUGAGCUUCCUUAAAACUUGCCCAGACUCAUCCAAAGGAUCUGAUAAAAGGCCUCAUUUCUAAAAUAUAUAGAAAACUGACUCAAAUUUAUAAUAGUUUAAGUCAUUCUCCAAUUGAUAAAUGGUCAAGAGAGAUGAAGACAGUUUUCAGAUGAAGAAAUUGAAAGUAUUUGUAGCCACAUGAAAAGGUGCUCCAAAUCCCUAUUGAUCAGAGAAAUGCAAAUUAAGACAACUCUGAAAUAUCAUUACACACCUGUCAGAUUGGCUAAGAUGACAGGAAAAGAUAAUGAUGAAUGUUGGAGGGGAUGUGGGAAAACUGGGACACUGAUACAUUGCUGGUGGAAUUAUAAAUACAUCCGGCCAUUCUGGAGAGCAGUUUAGAACUAUGCUCAAAAAGUUAUCAACUGUGCAUACCCUUUGAUCCAUCAGUGUUUCUACUGGGCUUAUAUCUCAAAGAGAUCUUAAAGAAAGGAAAGGGACCCACAUGUCUAAAAAUGUUUGUGGCAGCCCUGUUUAUAGUGGCAAGAAACUGGAAACUGAGUGGAUGCCCAUCAAUUGGAGAAUGUCUGAAUAAAUUAUGGUAUAUAAAUGUUAUGGGAUAUUAUUGUUCUGUAAGAAAUGACCAGCAGGAUGAUUUAAGAGGCCUGGAGAGACUUACAUGAACUGAUGUUAAAUGAAAUGAGCAGAGCCAGGAGAUCAUUAUACACGGCAACAACAAGACUAUAUGAUGGUCAAUUCUGAUGGACAUGGCUCUCUUCAACAAUGAGAUGAUUCAAACCAGUUCCACUUGUGCAGUGAAGAAGAGAGUCAUCUACUCCCAGAGAGAGGACUGUGGGAACUGAGUAUGGAUUAUAACAUAGCAUUCUUGCAUUGUGUUUUCUUUCUCAGCUUUUCUUUUUCCUUCUUUCUUGAUCUAUUUCUUAUGAAACAAGAUAACUGUAUAAAUAUGUAUGCAUAUAUUGGAUCUAACAUGUAUUUCAACAUAUUUAUCAUGUAUUAGACUACCUGCCAACUAGGGGAGGGAGUGGGGAUAAGGAGGGGGAAAUCUGGAACAAAAGGUUUUGCAAGAGUCAAUGUUGGAAAAAUUACCCAUGCAUAUACUCUGUAAAUAAAAAGCUUUUGUCAAAUAGAUAGAUAGAUAGAUAAAUGAAUAAAUAAAUAAACAGAAACUUGCCCAGACUGAGUUCUACCUUUUCUAUUGCCAUAGCAACAUCUCAGAACUCACAUGCAUGGAUGUGAGCAAGCUAUGAUGACUUAUAUAACUUUCAUCUAGUUCAGUUGCAUUCAAUACAUUUAACAAACACAUAAUACUAAUGCUUAAUCUGUUAUGACUCAGAUUUUAUGUGUGUUUUAUAUCUUUUUCAUGUAUUUGAUUUCUUUCUUUCAUUUGCCCAAAGGUGCCUGGGGACCUAGAACAAAGCUCCUCACACAUUUUAGUAUAUGAAAUGAAAGUGUUUUGAAGACAGGGAUGGGAUUUUUCUCUUUGAAUCUCUUGGGAGCAGCAAAACAUCUUGGCAUAAAGGAGAUGGUUAACAAGAAUUAGCUGGUUUUGAAAGACACUACUCUAUUAACUACAAUCUCUUAGUUGUAGUCCUUCUCUUACUAUUUCUCAGAACUUAUAGUAAAGAUAGCUGAAUCUAGGAAGAGUGGAGAAGAAGCUAAAAGGGAGUGAACUGCUUGUUAGAUUGGAGUGUUAAUGGUUGUUUGAAGAUGAAUGUACUGUGUGAAUAUUUUUGGCUACCUUUCAUAGUCCUCGGCCAUAGUGGAGGUAUAAACUUCUCUCUACUGUCCCCGCUGGGUGGCUCAUCACUUCUUAAGAAUUCUACAAAGGAAGAAAAAGAAGAAGAGAUGAGAAUUGAGGGAGAAACAGACAGAGAAAGACAGAAAGAGUGCAUUUAGUAAGUGUUAUGCCAAGCAUUGUACUAAGUAUUGCAAUUACAAAUACAAGCAAAUACAAGAAAGAAUUUGCAAUCUAAUAAGGGAAACUGGACUAAGAACUAAGAAAAGUCAAAGUUAAAAUGAGGUUUAUACUAUCUUUUCUUCUUUAAUCCCUACUAUUCUUCCAAUUUUCUAUUUCUUCAUAAACCCCAAAAUGAAGCAAUUCUCAGCAUUGCUGUCCACCCUGAACCUCCUACUGGACAUUUUCCCUCCACCCUCAAAGCAAAGAUCCAGAAGGUUCUAAUCAGAAAAUAGACAAAGGUUAUUCUUUCAUCAAUAAGCAUGAAAAGGUGACAUCUUGGAGAAGAUGUUAUCUUCAGGGUAACUUCUCCAGAGUUCUUCAGAUGGAUCAUGGAAGAUUUCUGAUUGCUCUGAUUUCUGAUCAACUCAUAAAGAUUUACAAAAUGUCAGCUAUGAACUCAGCACUUUAUAUUUAGCCAUUUAAAAAUUUUUGCGACAAUAUCAAAUGAUUACCUUUUAUUAUUAUUAAUAUUUUUGGCAUUAAUAACAGAGGUAAUAGCUGCUAUUGUUGUAGUGCUUUAAGGUUCGAAAAACACUUUUCAUGUUAUUUUUUAUGAUCCUUGCAAUGCUUUGGGGGUGGGGUGGGAUGGUACUAUAGGCAUUAAAGCAAGCAGGAUAGUGAAAGAAAUACUGGAUUUAGAGGAAAGAACUGUAUCAGACUCCACCCCUAUGACAUAAGAUUAAACUAUAUGACCAUGAGAAAGUCACUUUGUUGCUUAUUUCACUUUUUUCAUCUGUAAAAUGUGAAUAAAAAUAGUUCAAGUACUUACUUCACAGGGCUGUUAAGAAGAUCAAGUGAGAAUACAAAAUAUAAACUCCUAUAAUGUAAGUUCUCUGAGAGCUGGAACUAUUUUUGCUUUUUCUUUGCACUCCCAGGGCCUUAAGGUAGUGUUAAAGUGUUUAUUGAAUGCUCUUAUUCCUCUGUGUGUGUGUGUGUGUGUGUGUGUAUAGACAGAAACAGAGACAGAAAGUAAACAAGAGAAAGCAUUAAACUCCAAUCAGUUUCUAAUCCAGUUCAUUGAAAGGAUUUAGUCAUUCAUUUGACUGAUAAAGUGAUGAUACUCAUCUUUUUUUUCCCCCUCCAGCAUAAUCUUGUUAUGUCUGAAGAUUCAGAGUUUGAAAUUACAGCAGGUUCUUUUGGUAGACUUCUCAGAUACACACAUACAUACACACACACACUCAUACACGCACACAUACAUACACAUAUCUUAUACAAAUAUACAUACACACAUUUUCAGAAAUAUACAUGUAUAUAAAACUACUGAAAAGUAUGCUAUUUUAAAUUUCAUUAGUUAUAUCAUUAUUUCUAGUGUACAGUAAAGUGAAGGUUUUCAGCUUACAAAGUAGAUAAUGAAAUAGUUUGGUUUUGUUUUUUAAAUUUGAUUUAUUAAUUUGACAUAAUUAGGAAACUCCUCUACCAAAGUUAUUCUGUUGCUAGCUGGAGAUGACACUGGGCUCUUGAAUGCUGUGUCCCGAAUAUCAACUUUAGCAAGGUCUCCUAUGUUGGAAACACUGAAUACUGGCCCACUGAAAGACUAUGUUAUGCAUUAACAGAAAAUCAACAUAGAUAGGGACAGAAAGUCCAGAUCAGAAGGCUGGCUAUCAAGUAAUAAAUCUGUUAAAGCUCAUCUACUAUGAGGUGAGGAGGAACUGUGAUCAGAGUGAAUGGAAGGAAUCCUGAGGGAGAUCAUGGCUCCUUGAACGGAACUAAAAUAUGCCACAAAGAAAAUUACCACCUUGAUGUAUUCUCCUUCAAAAUUCAUUGAAACUUUUUUUAUUCUCACUAUAUGGAAAAUCAACAUACCAACUUAAAAUGGUUAUCCCUGGACAGGCAGGAUGGUAUAAAAGUGAAGAACACUAAAUAAGAAAUCAAGAGAAAUGAAUUCAAAUGCUGGAUCUAUGCCUAUGUGAGUUUGAGUAGCUUAACCUCUUUGGGCCUCAAUUUCUUAUAAUGAAAUGGUUGUCCUAGAUCAGUGGUCCUCAAACUUUUGUUCUCAAUAUCUUUAUCCUAUUAAAAAUGAUUGAGGAUCUGUCCAAAGAGUUUUUGUUUAUGUGGGUUAUAAUUAUAGAUAUUGAUCACAUUAAAAAUAAAAACCAAUUAUGAAUUUGUAGACUCUCUGAAAGGAUUUCAGAGAUUCCUCAGGAUGCUCUGGACCAGAAUUUGAGAACCACUGUCCUAGAUGAUCUAUAAGGCUCCCUCUAACUCAAAAAAACUAUGAUACAAUCUAUGAUUUCUGAGGAAGUUUUGAUUUUGUGGGAGUAUAUCAUUCUCCACCAUAUAGUCUACAACCCAUUUGUGACUUAGCAGAUAAAUAUAUUCCUAUAAUAAAACCAAUGAAUGCUAACCAGCGUUUCUAUAGGACUUUCCUCAUGAUAACCCUGCAGGCAGGUAGUUAUUAUUAACCCAGGUCUCUUGACUUUAGGUUCUGCAUUCUUUCCACCAGAUCUAAGCUCAUGAGAUCUCUUGCUAACUGUUCUUUAAAUCAAUCACCAAUGUAAGAGCUAACAGGAGUUCUCAAUAAAUUAUCAUUUGAGUGGCUGACACUUGAAAGGGAAAGGCUGUUUGCCUAGUGAUUCUUGUGAGCCAAUUUCAUUUCUGUGCUGAUGCUUAAUUAUUCUUAAGUACUAUCUGCAGAAUAAUUAAAGGUGAGAGAGGAAGAGAAGAAGAAUGUCUGUGGAGGUUGGUAUUUUAUAAAAUCAAAAGAUAAACCCAAAAGAUAUAGUAUCAAGGGAACCUUAGGUACUGGACUUACCCUUUCUUUUAUGGGAGCAUGUUUAUUGUUUAUUAAUUCUUUUAUUAUUUUGCCUGUUUCUUUCUAGGCUGGGUUUUUGUUAAAUCUGGGCUAGCGAAACAUUAAUUGACCCUAGUUCUUAUACUCCAAACAACUGGCUCUGGCUGCCUUCUUCAUUUCUUUUACCUUCCUAGAGAAGGCAACGCCAACCCUUUAGAUGGCAGAUGCCUGCUUUCUCCUCAAGGCCUCAAAGUUUAGUCAUUUUAGCAGAAAGACAAACACAUUUUCCUAGAAUCCCAGAUGCUACCCAGGUUUUGUCUUCUGAAAUGUUAACCACCUCUCCCUGUCCAAAGUGUUUGGUGUCAGUGCCUGCUCCCAAAGCAAAAUCUACUUUACCUCAAGGGACAGAAAGUGAUAUAAGGAGACACUUACCACCUCCAAGAGUGGCUGCAUGGUGGGGAGCUUCUCCUCUGCAGGGUCUGUCCCAGAUUCUGAUCUGAACAGUGACUGGGCCUUGGCGUUCCACACAUCUCUUAGAGCUAGAUGCAUCCCUCUAAAGAGCUUUCUCCUGCUUUGCCUUUCAGCAGCCCAGAGGCAGAAACAAGGCCCUCUGCAGCUUCUGUUCCCAGUGUGCCUUUCCCUCUCUCCCUUUAUGGGAUCCAGGGAUUUAAAGUAAACAAUUCUUUCUCUUUCUGAUAAGUCACAUUAAAUUAUUGAUUUGGGGGAGGGGGAGGUCGACCUCAGUCCACUAAGUUAGUCACCUUUGGCCAAACAGACCAAGCACAUACUGGAAAUCCUGGGUUAGUUCCCCCCACCCCACCCCCCAGCUUGUGGGAGGACACAAACUUGAUAUGUAAUAAGGGUUGUAGAACCUGAGAGUGGAAAAAGUUGGGUUUGAGAAGAACAUAGGCAAUAAUAUCUGGUGGGUAACUCAAGAGUUUUCUCUGAAAGCUGGGCAAGCCUGUUUAACUCUCUUCACACCAACCAUCAGCUAGCAGGUUACCACUGUUCUCUUUCCCCCUAUCUCAAUGCAUUUUAAAAUUAAGGCUCCUUUAGGGAGCUCUUUAGGGAACUCUUUUGUCUAACAUAAAGGGAAUUUGUAAAGACGUAGUCUUGGCUGGAAAGGGGAAAUCGGUCACUAUGUCUCUUCAGAUUUCCAAAAAAAAAAAAAAUCAAACGAACAAAAAAUGAAUUGAGUAUAUUAGUCUGUUAAUUUAUUUUUUCUUGGUUCUGUCUAGUUUGAACUAAGCAAUACUUUGGAUAAAAUCCUGGCCUUUUCAAGUGAUCAUUUCUUCUACUAUUAUAAAUCAAAUUACAGUCACUAAGCUCUCAAUCGUUAUUUUGAGGGAGCUGGAGGGAAGAAGGUGGUCCAGACCUUGAUCCAUCUAGAGAACUCCUGGUGUGAAAACUGCCCACCAAUUUAGAUCAACGACUAAUUUGUAAUUUAAGAAUCUCAGGAAACUGGGAUGGGAGGGUCAGGGGAAGGGAUGGCAGUGGGAAGGGAUAGCAGUAAAAGGUUAAAAUUCCUGCACUGGGUCACCUAUAUCAGAAGAACUGAACUUCUUGGACUCCAAUGCUCUCUCUCAUUUACUACAGUUUAUUACUUAUAUUAUUAUUAUAAAUAAUUAAUUUAUUACGAUUUUUUAAUCUUCAUGGGAUUUGAGGGGUAUUUUUCCCUUUCUGUGAUGAGUAAGUCAGUUUGGCAAUAAGUGUAUCUCAUAAUAGAAAAAAAAAAUUCUAAAUGUCUCCACUACCAUUUGUGGACUCUUAAAGUUGUGUUAUCAUGACUCUAAAAGCCCACUGUGAACAAAUAAUUUUAGGAGACAGACCAUUGAAAUAUGAAUAACAGUGGUUAUCUUUCUCUUUUGCUCAUAAUUACUACAAUGACACUACUGAGUACAAAGGAUAAGGGGGGAAAAGGGUUCUUUUUGGCUUUGUUUUGUUUUUAUAAAUGGCUUUGCAGCAGAGAGGCAUGUUUUGCUACUGUUUUUUGUUUGUUUGUUUCCUACUCAGGGAGAACUUUUAAAAUAGAUUCUAACUAAAGUACAGGAAGUUUCUAUAGAGAAGACAGGAAGGGGGAUACUAGUUCCUGAACAACGAUUUCUCUUCAGUUUCCCAAUGACAAUUUGGUUUAUCUCCUUAUAUGAAGAAAAAGUGGACUGUCCAAAAUCACCCAGGCUGUCCAUGAAAGAACUAUGUGACUGGAUAUGGUAAUUUAAGGGCAAAACAUUUGUGCUAUAAAAAUCUAAUCUGUCAUCUUGAGAGGAACCAAAUAAAACAUUUUUCCAGAAAGUUUUCCGUAUCCUGCUCCCAAAUGAAACUUCCAAACUCAUGUGUAUUUUGUCACAGGGAGACAAAGCUCAACUUCAAAAAAGGAAUUUUGUUGGCAUUGUCUUGCACGGUAUAUGGUAAAUUGAUUUGUAUUUAUUUUUUAAUUUGUUUCACCACCUGGUUUGGUUACGGUAAUCAUAUUUCUUUACUGAAUGAUUAUGAGUUAAAAUCCUUUAGGGAAAGUGGAAAGCUUUGCCAAGUGAGUUUUCCAGACAUAUAUUCUUACAAGAGACAAGCAGAUCCCUCCCACCUUCAGUUCUCAGCAGGAUGCACAUCUGGAACACUUUUCCUCAACAUUUCUCACUAGGCGAAACCUGAAGCUUGUUCCACAAAUCCCCACUUUCUCUUCAGUUCUAAAACCAUAACUAGCGGAAAUGUUAAUUUCUUUAAAAUUCCCAUUGGUACUGCCUCUCAGUCACUUGGAUAUGUUAGAAGUAGGAUGAUCCUUAUAUUUUGGCUCCCUUCUGUCCCACUGCCUUUAAGACAGCUACUGUGAUAAAGUAUUGUUACACUUAUGAUGCUCAUUAGGAGGCUACGGGUGGUAAGAGUUGAUACAUACUCAUGGUUUUUUAGAGUAAAGUGUGAAGGUAAGUACUGGGAUUUUUAACAUUGUAGGAAGUUUAGGUUUUAGAUGUAGUCAUUUCAGGGAGCAUUGGAAAUUUUCACUGAGAGGUGGUGAGCAAGGAGCCAACUCCUGUUUCACAAGCUGGGGGUGGGGAUGGGGUAGGGUACAGAUAAAUGGCACAAUGGACUAGCACUGGCCCUGGAGUUGAGGAACUGAAUUCAAAACCUCAGAUAUUUAACCCUUUAGUUGUGUGCCUUCAAUUGCCUCCCAAAGAACAACUUCAAGAGAUCAUUUUGACCAUCUGAAGUCAAAGUCUUACUGGACUAUCUGGAAGUCAUCCCAAAUUCAGAAAGAAAUCCAGAAUUAUGUGUAACAAAUGCUGCAAAAAUAACGUUUUGGUCAUGUAUACUUAUUGUGUAUCUAAUUUAUAUUUUAAUGUACUUACCAUCUACUGGUCAUCCUGCCAUCUGGGGGAGGGGGGCUCUUAUGGGUCUUACAGAGCGUGGUAGGGCACGACUGGCUGGGGGUCUGCAUAUAUCCUGUAAAUAAAAGGCUAUUAAAUUAAAAAAAAAAAAAAAAAAAAAAAAACAAAUGCUGCAAAAAAAAAAAAAAAAUGUAAAUUUCCACUCACCAUGAGGAGCAGACACCCAGAAUCCUCUCUUCUCCUGGAGUUGGAGUAUGGAAGGGUUUCCAUCCUUCUCCCAUAUUACCACUGAAAAGCUACAUAGACGCUUUUGGAAAUAACGUAGGAGUAGGAAUUCAUUACCCUUAAGAUCAUUAAGUUUAAGAAGCGGGGUAACUCUUUAUCAUGGAGAAGGGUUUUGAAAAUGUUGAUGCUCAUGAUUGAGAAUUCCAGAAAUGUGGUUUGGAGAAGAUACUGUUGCCCUUGUUGGUUUAAACGGUAAUGGCUAACCCUUUCACAGCCUUUAAGGGUUCCAUUCUUACUUGUUCCUUACAACGCCGCGAUGAUGGAGGUAGGAAAAACUGGCCCCAUCAGAGACUGGCGCAAUGCUAUCGCUUCAGGCUAAGAUCACGUGUCCCCAAUCUCAUCAACGCAUGCGCAAAUGACUCCUCAACGUUGACUGACUAGGCCCAAAUCCUUGGCUAAAAAAACCUCCCCUUUAACUGGAAGACCCUGUGAGGCGGCUGUCCUCACACAGUACUGUAGAUGACUCAGCAAAACUGAUGACAUAUAAGAAACCCACGUCACUGGGUACCAAAACCUCAUCCCGGUCAUUGCUGCUUCAGUUGAAAAAGCCACGUGUCCUCAGUGAUGCCCGCGGCGCCUGCGCAGAUGACCCCCAGCCAGUCGUGCCCUACCACGCUCUGUAAGACCCAUAAGAGCCCCGCGAGGCCCUGAAACAGUCCCGAUAGACUCUAAGAAUUCCCCCACCACGCAGAGUGACUGCGUGGGCCUGCCAGGAAGGGCACUGAAGGUGCCAGUUGUCUGGUAUUGGGGGGUGGAGUGGCCACCAAACUUCCGCCCUCCCUCACCCUAAAUCCCCCUCGGAGCAAUGAAGCUCCAUGAGUCACAUCCCACCAAUGAUUCCCGGAAGUAGGGUAUGACGUCAGUGGCGGAAGCCCAUGAGCGGGAUUCUGGUCUCUCUGGGCAUGUGCGUCACGGGAAAGAAUUGUUCCCUUAGCAAAAGGCACGUGGUAUAAAAGUGGGUGGGGGAUGUCCUCGGGAAACCAGUGAGUUCAAGGCUUGGGUCCGAGUUUUUGCGUUUAGUCAUAGUCCUUAAUUCCAAGGCCUCAUUGCCUCGAUGCAUCGUUUCUGUUGUUGGUGCAAAGAGAUGUGGUCAAAGUUACCUGGAACAUGACCUUGCAAAGACUCCUAGACAAGCCCAGGAAAACCCCUGCCCUGAUCCUCCUAAGCCUCCCCCAGGCUUAGCCAAAGGUGCAGCGCCCCUCCCCCCACCUUGUUAGAGUGCGUUUUCUUUGCUUGGAAAGCAGCCCACCCCCUCACCCCUUUCCUAGCGGAGCAUCGGGAGUAUGGCCAGAACAAGCAGUGGCACAGCCCCAGGAGGCUGCAGGGUAUUCCCUUCUCUCACGAGCUUAGGAGCAGAAUUCCUCAGAACUGAUCACAGCUGAUGAAUGAACGGGGGAGCCAUCUUUGUGAGCUUCCUUGCUUACCCCAUGGCCUGGGGCAGUCUGCCCCACUCAGGGACACAGAUUCCUGGACAGUAUCUGGAACCGAGCACAGAGCAAGCCAGGGUUUUCUGCUUCAUAGAUCUUAUGGGAUAGGUAUCUUGCGGCAGCGGAAGGUACUACCCUACCAUUGACCAGGCCCUGACUACUGAGGGGAAAGAAGAGCAUGUGCAGUAUGUACAGAGUCUGUGGUUCCUGCUUGCCCUUUUGCUUUAGUAAGCAAAGAUUCGUCAUACAUCUUCCUAGUCCAGCACCAAUGGCCUCACCCUAUGGAGUCAUGAGGGGGUUGUCAGAUAAUGGAUGGUACGAGGUUGAGAGACCCAGGCCAUGUCUUUGUAGAAAUACUUAGUUUCCCUUGUCACCAUCUUUGUCGAUCAUGUCUCUCUUCCCAAUGGCAGAACUGACCCUUCUUCAUUCCACAAUUUCUAUGCAGACGGGCAUAGCCAGGUGGCCACGGCUAAUAAUGCACUUCUAGACCCAGGCCUAUGUUCUAUGACUAGAUUCCAUGCAACGAGGACUAGGUCCCCUUAAGGUAUGGCUAGAGCAGACAGGUUUUCUAUAAUCCAACAGAAGAUACUGUAGCAAUUUCAACAAAACACCUUAACCCCCAAAACUAGUGACUAUACUCUGCCUAUUCCAAUAGAAAAUCUGACAGGUGUGUGGAUAUUUGAUGUCAAUAUCUGUUUCCAGUACCCAGGAGAUGAGGAAUUGGUACAAGAUGAGGAGGGAGUGCCAGUACCAGAUACUGUGGCUACUAGCACAGCAUGUCCACCAUUGACUAUCAUAGAGGAGCGCUUGUGCUAAUUAUUGGGUUCCCCAGCCAUCAUGGGGCUCACUCAUCACUGAGCAUCUAACCACACUCCAUGGGGGAACAAAUGGAAGUAGUUGCACUAUGAUCUGGCCCCACAGAAUGAGUGGCCAAUGAAGAAAAAGACACCCUGGGAAUAAUCUCUAGCUAUGAUCUUUCUCUGUUUUAUAGUGAAGGCACACCCUUGGACAAGAGAAUGACCUUAUUCCUCUCCUGUGCCCAACAAAAGACUAUGACGUGGGCCAGGACCGCCUUGCUUCCACCUAAGUGAUAAAACAGAGGCACAGAGAGCUAAACUGACUUGACAAGAUCAACAAAACUAAGCAGAGGCUAAGAUUGAUCAAAAACAUUGGAAUGAAAAGAUAGAGGAAGAAAAAGUGAACCAUCAGUCUAUAUUUCAUUUUUUCUUUGAAUGUUCCCUAGCACAGCCUUACUGGACUUUGCAGGCAAUCUUAAGUGUGCUCCCAGCAGUUUCUUUUUUUUUCUUUUUCUCUUUUUAUUUUGAGACUUAAAACACCUAACAAAAUUGUCAUUUUAUAUGUAGAAUAAAACAAAAAAAGAGGACUGUACAAGAAA
This 16111-nucleotide long non-coding RNA is filed under the name Sarcophilus harrisii (Tasmanian devil). RNAcentral describes it as "lncRNA (ENSSHAG00000026070.1)". Lineage: Eukaryota; Metazoa; Chordata; Mammalia; Dasyuromorphia; Dasyuridae. The record is from RNAcentral.